CUAUCGAGGUUCGACUAAGCCAUGCGAGUCGAAUGUAGCAAUACAUGGCGUACUGCUCAGUAACACGUGGACAACCUACCCUCCGGACGGGUAUAAACCCGGGAAACUGGGUAUAAUCCCCGAUAGAUCUCGGUCGCUGGAAUGCCCCGAGAUCGAAAGCUCCGGCGCCAGAGGAUGGGUCUGCGGCCUAUCAGGUAGUAGUGGGUGUAGCGUACCUACUAGCCUACGACGGGUACGGGUUGUGAGAGCAAGAGCCCGGAGAUGGAUUCUGAGACACGAAUCCAGGCCCUACGGGGUGCAGCAGGCGCGAAAACUUUACAAUGCCGGCAACGGCGAUAAGGGGACCUCGAGUGCCAGGUUACAAAUCUGGCUGUCGUGAUGCAUAAAAAGCAUUGCAUAGCAAGGGCCGGGCAAGACCGGUG
This 422-nucleotide ribosomal RNA is filed under the name uncultured archaeon. RNAcentral's name for it is "bacterial SSU rRNA". It matches the Rfam family "Archaeal small subunit ribosomal RNA", at positions 30 to 457 of the family's 1478-position model. The record is from RNAcentral.